GUCCACACCGUAAACGUUGGGCGCUAGGUGUGGGACUCAUUCCACGAGUUCCGUGCCGCAGCUAACGCAUUAAGCGCCCCGCCUGGGGAGUACGGCCGCAAGGCUAAAACUCAAAGGAAUUGACGGGGGCCCGCACAAGCGGCGGAGCAUGCGGAUUAAUUCGAUGCAACGCGAAGAACCUUACCUGGGUUUGACAUACGCCGGAAACACCUAGAGAUAGGUGCCCUUUUAGUCGGUGUACAGGUGGUGCAUGGCUGUCGU
This 261-nucleotide ribosomal RNA is filed under the name uncultured bacterium. RNAcentral's name for it is "partial 16S ribosomal RNA". It matches the Rfam family "Bacterial small subunit ribosomal RNA", at positions 793 to 1055 of the family's 1533-position model. The record is from RNAcentral.